Molecule: ribosomal RNA, 181 nt
Filed under: uncultured bacterium
Lineage: Bacteria
Description: partial 16S ribosomal RNA
Rfam family: Bacterial small subunit ribosomal RNA
Source: RNAcentral
AUGAAGCUGGAAUCGCUAGUAAUCGCAGAUCAGAAUGCUGCGGUGAAUACGUUCCCGGGUCUUGUACACACCGCCCGUCACACCAUGGGAGUCGGAAAUGCCCGAAGCCGGUGACCCAACCAAAAGGAGGGAGCCGUCGAAGGCAGGUCUGAUAACUGGGGUGAAGUCGUAACAAGGUAAC